GGGUUUCACUAGAACUAGUGUUCAAACUAUUUUAACUAGACAACCGUGGCUCUGAUACCAAUUGAGGCUCUAGAUAAAAAAGACUAGACUAGACGCCAAUGGUUAAUGUAAGCCAUUUUCUUCUAUCCUUUAGCCACCAUAAAACCCUCCCAAGCCUCCAUUUGAGUUGAGAAUUGAAAUUGAAAGAAGAAUCAAAAGUUUUGGGAAACAAAGUCUGCGGGUAAUUCACAAGCGCAACAAAAAUUUCAACAAAGGAGGAGGGUAUCACAGAGGUCAUUGGAACCCCAUUUACACUACAAGUGCUAGCAUCUCUUUGGGUGUCAUGUGUGUAGUGCUGAGCAGCUCAUUUUCUUCAAUUUUUCCUGCCUUGAGGUUUAAGUAGGCAAAUUUCAUUUGGGCGGUGGAAAGCAAACUGGGCGAAGCUUCUCCAAUCAUCCAUGCCUGUCAAUUAAAGGCCUAAAAUUCCUAUUCCGAGACUUGCAUUGCUGUUCAGUCCAUGAGGUGAAGAAUACGAAAGGCCAUAAUUUUAGCAAUUUCUUGAUAUGAAGUUCAAAUCUUUAAUAAUUUAA
RNAcentral lists this unclassified non-coding RNA (569 nucleotides) under Hevea brasiliensis (rubber tree). Lineage: Eukaryota; Viridiplantae; Streptophyta; Magnoliopsida; Malpighiales; Euphorbiaceae. The record is from RNAcentral.